GGUUUCUCCCCAUGUAAGAGGACAACUCCACCGUGCCAACACCCAGGCCUACAAUUUCCUACACUCUUCCGGAGCGGACGUGGGAACAGCCCUUGUCAUUGUUACAUACCAAGAGUUUGGAUGGAUCCGUAGAAAAAUAUUGACUGCAUCCACCUUGGAACAAGAUCAGAUGGACAUAAACCCACACAUACUGUACAGUACCUGAAUCUAGCUAUCUCCACCCUCCUAUCUCUCCACUGGUCGUAAAGCUCCAUCUGUAGCUCAUGAAACCUGAUACUCCUGUGUCUCUGCCUGCAGUGCACGCUGUCCUGCACACAUUCUGGUUGCCUGGUUAUGCUGCUGCACAAGAGGGAAAGCUAGUGAUGUGAGUGUGCUCCAGGUGGGGCCCCUCUGAUAAAGGGGGGCCCGGGAUAUAGUAUGACAUGUGCAUCCCUUCGUAAUCUGGCUAUGAGUAAUGCCCUGAACAAGAUGCAAAAGAAUGUUUUUAAAAAAACUGUAAAGAUAUGCAGAUAAAAAUAAGAAUAGUGUUUGUAAAAACUACAUGUGAUUAAUGAUCUGGAACUGCCAAAUAACUUUGUCCUAGAGGUAUUGGGAUGUAUAUUUCAGCCCCUGAUGACUCAUGUCACAGUUGGCUUUGAUUCAUUAAACGUUUCCGAGCUGCCCAUUAUUUCAAUCCACAGCAUGAUUUGGCUGUUUCUACAAUUCAGAAAGUCUUUAAUGGAUUUUGGAAUA
Molecule: long non-coding RNA, 732 nt
Organism: Pseudophryne corroboree (corroboree frog)
Lineage: Eukaryota; Metazoa; Chordata; Amphibia; Anura; Myobatrachidae
Exons: 5
Source: RefSeq, a predicted model, not a curated record